RNAcentral lists this ribosomal RNA (492 nucleotides) under uncultured bacterium. Its description in RNAcentral is "partial 16S ribosomal RNA". It matches the Rfam family "Bacterial small subunit ribosomal RNA", at positions 29 to 507 of the family's 1533-position model. The record is from RNAcentral.
AGUGAACGCUGGCGGUAGGCCUAACACAUGCCAGUCGAACGGCAGCACAGUAAGAGCUUGCUCUUACGGGUGGCGAGUGGCGGACGGGUGAGGCAUACAUCGGAAUCUACUUUUUCGUGGGGGAUAACGUAGGGAAACUUACGCUAAUACCGCAUACGACCUACGGGUGAAAGCAGGGGAUCUUCGGACCUUGCGCGAUUGAAUGAGCCGAUGUCGGAUUAGCUAGUUGGCGAGGUAAAGGCCCACCAAGGCGACGAUCCGUAGCUGGUCUGAGAGGAUGAUCAGCCACACUGGAACUGAGACACGGUCCAGACUCCUACGGGAGGCAGCAGUGGGGAAUAUUGGACAAUGGGCGCAAGCCUGAUCCAGCCAUACCGCGUGGGUGAAGAAGGCCUUCGGGUUGUAAAGCCCUUUUGUUGGGAAAGAAAAGCAGCAGGUUAAUACCCCGCUGUUCUGACGGUACCCAAAGAAUAAGCACCGGCUAACUUCGUG